RNAcentral lists this transfer RNA (70 nucleotides) under Acanthaphritis unoorum. Its description in RNAcentral is "tRNA-Ile". It matches the Rfam family "tRNA". Rfam says of the family: Transfer RNA (tRNA) molecules are approximately 80 nucleotides in length. Lineage: Eukaryota; Metazoa; Chordata; Actinopteri; Pempheriformes; Percophidae. The record is from RNAcentral.
GGAAUUGUGCCUGAAUCAAAGGGUCACUUUGAUAGAGUGAACUAUGGAGGUUAAAAUCCUCCCAACUCCU